RNAcentral lists this non-coding RNA (210 nucleotides) under Haloplasma contractile. RNAcentral describes it as "T-box sequence". It matches the Rfam family "T-box leader". Rfam says of the family: Uncharged tRNA acts as the effector for transcription antitermination of genes in the T-box leader family. T-boxes are found upstream of many aminoacyl-tRNA synthetase genes and some amino acid biosynthetic genes usually in Gram-positive bacteria. The anticodon of a specific tRNA base pairs to a specifier sequence within the T-box motif, and the NCCA acceptor tail of the tRNA base pairs to a conserved bulge in the T-box antiterminator hairpin. The record is from RNAcentral. Lineage: Bacteria; Bacillati; Mycoplasmatota; Mollicutes; Haloplasmatales; Haloplasmataceae.
AUAGAUCCAGUGAUUGGAAGAGUAGAUGUUAUACGAUUUUAAGCGAGCUAGAGUUGGUGUGAGUCUAGUAAAUUGAUAGCAUUGAACCGCAUCCAUGAGGAUAUGUUCUGAAUCGUGUAGGAACAUACGGCCCCAACCGUUAAUGGAAGCGGAUAUGUAAUCAUAUCAAUUAGAGUGGUACCGCGGGUUUGUUUAUAACUCGUCUCUUGA